GUUGAUGGUAACCUUUUUGUAGUGCCGUUUUCUAGGGUCUUUCUAAGUGUUUUUUUUUCAAGUGAUGUUUUUCAUGUUUGCAUUGUUUGCUGUUAACUGCAUUCGCAAGAGCGAUAAUGAUGGGGAUAAGCAUCCAAGUCGAUAGCCGGCAGUGUGGUGAGUAGAAUGCAUGUAUGAUGUCGUCAGAUGCUAUCUUCAGUCAGCAUUCGUGAUAUUGUGUUAAGGAUUACUUAUGUUUGACACUAGCUUUUUUUUAAAAAAAAUGAAAGCUACUCCAAUGUUCUGCACCAACCAUCAAGGUGCCAACAGCCAAUGACUGAACCAUGGUACGGUGACGACAACUACGAUCUGGGAUCUUUCUGAAGACGAAAUAAGGUGACGAGGAUUUUUGGCUGAGCCUGCUCAGUCUCGAGUCUCGAUCAGAUGGUUUCGACGACCUGACCCGGUCUCUUGCAGCACGCUACCUUUCGUCAUGUUAUGUUUGUGUGUACUUCGUGUACGAGACCGCGUGACGCGUGCAAGUUCAUGCCCAGAUCCGCUGGUACCUGCUGGCGUGGCACUACUUCGAGUCUGCGACCCUGCAGGUGGCAGGAUGAAGCCAAGUGCAAAGUGACGAGGUUGGCUGAGCCCGGUAUCCUUGCUCGGGCGCCAUGAGCAUCAAGGCCUUAUUUAGAUGUAUAAAAUUUUUGGUAUAAAAUAUUAUAGCACUUUUAUUUGUAUUUGAUAAUUAUUAUCUGAUCAUGGGUUAACUAGUCUCAAAA
Long non-coding RNA from Panicum virgatum (switchgrass), 761 nucleotides. RefSeq lists it as uncharacterized. The transcript is spliced from 2 exons. Lineage: Eukaryota; Viridiplantae; Streptophyta; Magnoliopsida; Poales; Poaceae. The record is from RefSeq and is a predicted model, not a curated record.